AAGUCCAUCCCUUAACGGUGAAUCUGCGCCGGCUACGGGCGGCCUGGAGUGCGGUAGGCGAGACUGGAAUUCCCGUUGUAACGGUGGAAUGUGUAGAAAUCGGGAAGAACACGAAUGGCGAAGGCAGCUCUCUGGGCCGUUACUGACGCUGAGGAGCGAAAGCGUGGGGAGCGAACAGGAUUAGGUACCCUGGUAGUCCACGCCGUAAACGGUGGAUGCUGGAUGUGGGGCCCGUUCCACGGGUUCCGUGUCGGAGCUAACGCGUUAAGCAUCCCGCCUGGGGAGUACGGCCGCAAGGCUAAAACUCAAAGAAAUUGACGGGGGCCCGCACAAGCGGCGGAGCAUGCGGAUUAAUUCGAUGCAACGCGAAGAACCUUACCUGGGCUUGACAUGUUCCCGACCGCUCCAGAGAUGGGGCUUCCCUUCGGGGCGGGUUCACAGGUGGUGCAUGGUCGUCGUCAGCUCGUGUCGUGAGAUGUUGGGUUAAGUCCCGCAACGAGCGCAACCCUCGCCCUGUGUUGCCAGCACGUCAUGGUGGGAACUCACGGGGGACCGCCGGGGUCAACUCGGAGGAAGGUGGGGAUGACGUCAGAUCAUCAUGCCCCUUACGUCCAGGGCUUCACGCAUGCUACAAUGGCCGGUACAACGGGAUGCGACACGGCGACGUGGAGCGGAUCCCUGAAAACCGGUCUCAGUUCGGAUUGGAGUCUGCAACCCGACUCCAUGAAGGCGGAGUCGCUAGUAAUCGCGGAUCAGCAACGCCGCG
Molecule: ribosomal RNA, 766 nt
Filed under: uncultured Bifidobacterium sp.
Lineage: Bacteria; Bacillati; Actinomycetota; Actinomycetes; Bifidobacteriales; Bifidobacteriaceae
Description: bacterial SSU rRNA
Rfam family: Bacterial small subunit ribosomal RNA
Source: RNAcentral